GAUGAACGCUGGCGGCGUGCUUAACACAUGCAAGUCGAACGAUGAAGCCCAGCUUGCUGGGUGGAUUAGUGGCGAACGGGUGAGUAACACGUGAGUAACCUGCCCUUAACUCUGGGAUAAGCCUGGGAAACUGGGUCUAAUACCGGAUAGGAGCGUCCACCGCAUGGUGGGUGUUGGAAAGAUUUAUCGGUUUUGGAUGGACUCGCGGCCUAUCAGCUUGUUGGUGAGGUAAUGGCUCACCAAGGCGACGACGGGUAGCCGGCCUGAGAGGGUGACCGGCCACACUGGGACUGAGACACGGCCCAGACUCCUACGGGAGGCAGCAGUGGGGAAUAUUGCACGAUGGGCGCAAGCCUGAUGCAGCGACGCCGCGUGAGGGAUGACGGCCUUCGGGUUGUAAACCUCUUUCAGUAGGGAAGAAGCGAAAGUGACGGUACCUGCAGAAGAAGCACCGGCUAACUACGUGCCAGCAGCCGCGGUAAUACGUAGGGUGCGAGCGUUAUCCGGGAUUAUUGGGCGUAAAGAGCUCGUAGGCGGUUUGUCGCGUCUGUCGUGAAAGUCCGGGGCUUACCCCGGAUCUGCGGUGGGUACGGGCAGACUAGAGUGCAGUAGGGGAGACUGGAAUUCCUGGUGUAGCGGUGGAAUGCGCAGAUAUCAGGAGGAACACCGAUGGCGAAGGCAGGUCUCUGGGCUGUAACUGACGCUGAGGAGCGAAAGCAUGGGGAGCGAACAGGAUUAGAUACCCUGGUAGUCCAUGCCGUAAACGUUGGGCACUAGGUGUGGGGACCAUUCCACGGUUUCCGCGCCGCAGCUAACGCAUUAAGUGCCCCGCCUGGGGAGUACGGCCGCAAGGCUAAAACUCAAAGGAAUUGACGGGGGCCCGCACAAGCGGCGGAGCAUGUGGAUUAAUUCGAUGCAACGCGAAGAACCUUACCAAGGCUUGACAUGUUCUCGAUCGCCGUAGAGAUACGGUUUCCCCUUUGGGGCGGGUUCACAGGUGGUGCAUGGUUGUCGUCAGCUCGUGUCGUGAGAUGUUGGGUUAAGUCCCGCAACGAGCGCAACCCUCGUUCCAUGUUGCCAGCACGUAAUGGUGGGGACUCAUGGGAGACUGCCGGGGUCAACUCGGAGGAAGGUGAGGACGACGUCAAAUCAUCAUGCCCCUUAUGUCUUGGGCUUCACGCAUGCUACAAUGGCCGGUACAAUGGGUUGCGAUACCGUGAGGUGGAGCUAAUCCCAAAAAGCCGGUCUCAGUUCGGAUUGGGGUCUGCAACUCGACCCCAUGAAGUCGGAGUCGCUAGUAAUCGCAGAUCAGCAACGCUGCGGUGAAUACGUUCCCGGGCCU
This 1342-nucleotide ribosomal RNA is filed under the name uncultured bacterium. Its description in RNAcentral is "bacterial SSU rRNA". It matches the Rfam family "Bacterial small subunit ribosomal RNA", at positions 28 to 1381 of the family's 1533-position model. The record is from RNAcentral.